Acanthochromis polyacanthus (spiny chromis) is the source of this 6936-nucleotide long non-coding RNA. RefSeq lists it as uncharacterized. NCBI's taxonomy places the organism in Eukaryota, Metazoa, Chordata, Actinopteri, Pomacentridae. The record is from RefSeq and is a predicted model, not a curated record. The transcript has 3 exons.
AUAGUGAGAGGAGCUGAGACAGUAGCAGAGCGAACCAGAGGCAGGGAGGAGGCGGUGAAGAAGCAGCUCUCCUCCUGAGCCUCCAUCCCAGAGAAGACAGAGCGGCGGCAGAGUCCCUCCUCGGCUCCACGCUUCCUCAUCCCCCUGCAGCUCCUGAAGUUCACGCCGAGACGUCCGUCGUGAGGUCAAAAGAACACGAUGUUCUGAGAGUGUGAGCUGUGACUGAACCUGCCAAGACUGACUGUCCUGAACACACAGGAUCCUUCAGGAGUCGAUGCAGAGUCUGGCGACAACAGGAGCCUCAACGCUCACCUGGUGUUUCACAAAACACAAGAGUGCAGAAACAGAUAUGAUUCCCACACACAAACACACAACCCCUAACAAAUCAUACUUCUUUCUACUAAUUCAACAAAUGAACAUCUUUUCUAGCAGUAUUAUAUGUGCAUAGUUUAUAAAAUAUAACAAUGAUCAAAAUAAAUCUGUCAGUUGUGGUGAAUUAAAGCCUGACUUAGACUAGAUUUUUGGGCCAAUGUCAACUUUUUUUUAAUGUAUUGGGCAAUAUUUUUAAGAUAUAUGUGUAUUAGUAAUAUUAAGAAUGAAUAUAUUGGGAUUUAUUACAUCUCUAGCAGUGUAUUUCGCAAGCUAGUUAGCAACCUAACAUGAAGACACCAGUUGACUCCGCACCACUGUGAUCUGUACCCUGCUACAUGUGCUGCAGACAGUGGACAAACUGGAUGCUGGACAAACUGCAUCCUAAAACCAUUCUUAAAUCACCCCAAAAUCAUUCUGUUCUGAACAAUAAGAAAAGUUUUAAUUUAAGGCAACAUACACAACAAUUCAAAAGUUUGGGGUCACUCAGACAAUUUCAUGUUUUCCAUGAAAACUCACACUUUUAUUCAUGUGCUAAUCACACAAGCGUUUUCUAAUCAUCAGUUAUCCUUUCAACACCAUUAGCUAACACAAUGUAGCAUUAGAACACAGGAAUGAUGGUUGCUGGAAAUGUUCCUCUGUACCUCUAUGGAGAUAUUCCAUUAAAAAUCAGCUGUUUCCAGCUAGAAUAGUCAUUUACCACAUUAACAAUGUCUAGACUGCAUCUAUGAUUCAUUUAAUGUUAUCGUCAUUGAAAAAAAAUGCUUUUCUUUUAAAAAUUAGGGUAUUUCUAAGCGACCCCAAACUUUUUAACGGUAGUGUAGUCUUGUAUAUGUGUAUUAUUAAUAGUAAAAUUGGAUAUAAAUGGGGUUUGUUAUGUCUCUAGCAAUGUAUUUCACAAACUAGUUAGCAACUUACCAUGGAGACACCACUUGACUCUGCACCACUGUCUGUUCAGCUGCGAUAUGUACUCUGCUACAUGUGCUGCCGACAGUGGAUUAAUGGAGUUGGCGCCAUUUUGCCGGGCAUCCUUAAACCAUUCCUAAAUUACCCCAGGAUUCAGAAUGAAAAGGAAAAAAUUCAUUUCAGGCAGCAUAUAUAGCAAAACUAAUGUAUAUCUUUGAAAGCCCAAUAUCUUUGUAUCGGUAUAUUGGUUGGAUUCUACUGUGAAUGACACCAUGUUAUUUUUGUAGUGCAAUAAGUGGAAUUUUACCAUUAAAACUGGUAAAGAUGAAGAAAAUUGUAUCAGCUUUACCUCUUCUGGUAGUUUAUUACCUAAUGAUGCACCAUAUUUUAUCAAAUAAUCCUGUUUCAGAUCUAAUCUGAUGGAACAAAGUCUAACAUUUACAUCUGAAAUGUAGUGAAGAAGAAAUAUAAAGUAGCAUGCGGCGGAAGUAAAGUCAAUGUACCUCAGUCUCAUCAGCCCGCCCCUAUUUCUUUCCUGUUGCUAGCGAGCAGACACUAGAUUGCAAAGAAAUCACUACAGUCCAUUGAAUGUUCAUUAUUAAUUUCAGCAGCAUCAUUACUGGCCAUUAAAAUGAUGUCUAAUCACAUACAUUAAGGCCAUUAUUAUGAGUUGCAGCCUUUGCGGUCUCCGUGGAAAGCCAAAGUCUUGCUGUAGCCUGAUUAGAAAGAUUAAAUGUAGUCUCUUACCUCACCGCUCACGCCUCAUCUCAUGAGGUCGUUGGUCAGUGCGUCAGUCCUCCUCCACUUCCUCCUCCACCCUCUCCACCCCCGCUGCACCUACGUUGCAUUAUUAAACUCGAAUAAGAUCAUUAGCAUACAAAGCAGGAAACCUACCGCGGCGGAGUCAUGCAUAUUGAUCUGGACGUGCCUGACUUGUGUGCACAUACACUCGUACUGUAACCCUCCUUUUGGGCGUCGAGCUCGACCGGCUCUCUUGCUGCAAGAGAGCCGCGGACACCGACUAAGAAGUGGAUAUUAAUAGGAGCAUGUCUGGUUUUAAGAAGCACAUAUUUAUGUGCGAAACAUCUGCGCAAGGCUUCAUUUAAAACGUGUGCGGGAAAUGUGUGUAUUUGGAAGCAGAGCAGAUGGAGUUCGGUUGGGUUCAUCAGAGCAGUUUGCUUCCGGCAUAUCAAAUAUAGUUUACACACAGAGGAAUUUCUGAAUCUCGUAAUGCCCACAAUACAUAUUCAUCUGCUGCACACAGAGGCACAUAAUCAAACAGAGAGAAACACAAACAGAGAGCACGGCCCCCUGAAUUCUUGUAGCACCUGUGGGCUGCCUCUGGCUUUUGAAUGACUUCUCUUUCUCUCUCUUCCUUGCAUCCUUCCUCACCAAAUUCAACCUUCUUCGCCUCCCUGUUCCCAUGUGGGGAUCACUUUCACCUUGUUUUCCCUCCAGCUGAGAGAACAACCUCCUCCUCCUCCUUUUUUUUUUUUUUUUUUUUUUUUGGGGGGGGGGGGGGCUUCGUGAAGUUGAUAUUCUUUCCUCCUUUUUUCCUUCCUCCUGUGAGAUUGCUGUUGUGUCUUAUGGCUUUUUAUUCCUACGUGAUGGUAGAUGGGUUCAUGUAGGAGUAGAAGCCACUAAACACGCGGUGAGUCCUCGACACGCCGGCCAACACAUGCAGCGAGCGUCCUGUGGCUACGACAGCUGCCGUGUUCACAUCAGCGUCCUGCCUAUUAUCAGGAAUGUAUGCACAGUUUAAACAGAACACAGCAAUCGGUGCAGAGAGCGAGUUUUUGUUCUGGAUGUAAAGGGAGAAAUCUACAGGUCUGUCUUUAAACAUAUUGGUUUCAAGACAAUGGAAGCAUCGGUCCGGGCUGACAGAUCAAUCAAAUCUGUAGCUGUGAACAGACCUACUUUCCUCACCUGCUCGCUGCCUGCAUGUGGCCUGAAUUUCAAACUCAUUCCUGCGUUUCCUCUGCCCCGGGGUCAUUGCACAAAACUGGAGCUGGAAAGUUCUCAAAAUAGAGAUCAGGAGGAGACCACGAUGGAAACGAAACAACUUGCAGAGGUAGGUCAUCAAUGCUGUUUAAUAAUGUACGGGAUCUUCUUCUCUGUUCUGCCAUGAUGCCGAAAUGAGCACACAGAAACCUGUUAGUGCUUCACAUGAAUCGUGUCACACGUAAUAAAUUCACUUUUUGGACAUAAAAUGAAUGUGAAAAUGGCAAUUUCACAUCUUGUCAAUGUCCUGUGAGCUCAGAAAAACCCAUCCAUUGAAAAUCCAUUUUUCAAAAAAGCAAGAGAGAGAAAAGGAAGAAUGUUGUCGACACAUAAAGGAGCAUUUAAUCCCUCAGCUUGAAAAGACUAACAGUUUCUCAGAUGUGGAUUAAGCUCAGUACUAGACUAAAAGAAAAAUUCAAUGAAGACCUCUACUGAAAAUAGUGUUUGUUCUAGGACUAGGCUAACUCCAUAUCUGGGAAGCUAUGACUUAGUUUUCAGCCAUGAUAGUGGGACAAGAAGACUAACCCUCUGAACUCCAGGUAGCUUCUGGGAAUUUGUUUAGUUUUUCUUUGCUCCUGUCACAUUUUUACUCACCUUGGGUUAAUUAAUCACUGAAAGUCCUGCACCUCUUUAGAAGCAGUAGCCACCAUGACUAGAAGUAGAGAGAACUCAAAAAUGUCUCCUGUGCAGUAGGCCACAUUUAUGACACAAAUCAUAAAAGAAAAAGAAAAACAACCGUUGAAUUUCUUUGAUUUCUUACUUUACAGUAAUUCUGAAAAACUGGAAUCAACACGUACAAGAUUUCUCCAAGUGCCCACAGCCGUUAAUGGUACUGAAAGAAAAGGUGACUCUACAUACAAUAGAGAUUUUACUACUUACACUAUCGUUAAGAGGUUUGGUGUCACUUAGAAAUGUCCUUUUUAAAAAAUAUAUAUAUAUAUAAAUUUUUUAUUUUCAGUGAAGACAACAUUAAAUGAAUCAGAAAUCCAGUCUCGACAUUGUUAAUGUGGUAAAUGACUAUUCUAGCUGGAAACGGCUGAUUUUUAAUGGAAUACCUCCAUAGGGGUACAGAGGAACAUUUCCAGCAACCAUCACUCCUGUGUUCUAAUGCUACAUUGUGUUAGCUAAUGGUGUUGAAAGGAUAACUGAUGAUUAGAAAAGCCUUGUGCAGUUAUGUUAGCACAUGAAUAAAAGUGUGAGUUUUCAUGGAAAACUUGAAAAUGUCAGGAUGACCCCAAACUUUUGAACUGUAGUGAAUGUUUUAAAGCAGUUUCCAUUCUUGUCUUCUGUUUUGUGGAAACACAGCCUGCAGUUCAACCCAGUUCAGCCAAAAAUUUGUAUCAUGCUGUUGUUGGUCACAACCGAGUCACUGAAGGCUUCACAGCUCGUCAGAGAAACACAGUAUUUUUUGUUUUUUAAAGAAUCUAGUUCAGGCAAGCAGUUUAUUUUUAACAUUUUUUGUAAUAAAGUGAUUUUGAAUAAAUGUCAUGACUUUAAGAUUAUAUUUGGGUCAUUUUCCAAAUUGAACUGCAGGUCUCAAAUGAUUUGGAAAGUGAAACUUCUGAUAAUUUUUCUCUUUUUAAUGCUUUCUGGCUCUGAUAAAUGGUGGGAUUUUGGCAGGCGAUGAGCCUUUCAAACGCACCAGCUGGUUUUCUAAGCUUUUUCUGAGCUCUAAGAAAGUUUCACAAUUAUUGCACAUAAAAAUGCCUUUUGGUCUACUGUUGUUUUUUGGUUUUUUUGGUGGAUUCAGUACUGUGAGUGAGAUGAAUCAGUAAAUAAAUCCAGGAUCUUCAUUGGUUGGUUUCUCUUUGGGGUAAAUACAACUGAUGUGUCACUGGCUUUGAAGAGAAUGAGCUUAAGUAUUUGAAAAAAUGACAUUUUUGACCAAGCGAUGGAGCAAAAUGAGAAUUGGAGAAUCACCAAAGCAGUUACAGUAAUAUGAUAAUCCAUCCAGAAGUUCUUGACUCAAAAACAUAAGAACUGAUUUGCUUGUGGCACUGGAGUAGAAGUCAUGGGACUAUUUUAUAUCUAAUUCCAAGUAUAUCCGGACUUUAUUCAGUCCUCUUUUUAAGCUUCUCUCAUUUAUCCUGUUAAAGUAGCUGCAUGAAUCUUCCUAAUAAAAACUUCUUAUUGCCAUUUCAACAGUAUUCAAUCCUUAACAUGGCUUUUAUUAUUAUUAUAUACGUUGUUCUUCAUUUAUAGUUUUUCCACCUCUGCUUGUUCUCGUCGACCGAUCUACGGUCAUUUUAGAAAACUCAGUGUUUAUUUAAGGAAAUAUGGUAUGUUUUUACUGUUCAUCCAGCAUUUUAGAUGUGGAAAAACUCCCACACAUUCAGAUGCAUUUGGGUACGCUCCUUCUAAAGGUCUUUCUCUUUGGACUGAUCAAAUUGAUUUCCACUGUUGAGUCACUCUUUAACUCUUCAGACUCCAGUUUGAAAACUUCAGCUCCUCUUUGUGCCAGCUUCUGAAACUUUGGCCGCUCGCAAAUUAGAUUUCAAAUUUUGGCCCAGCUCAAAAUGGCCGAUAAUGGUAUUUAUCUGCGGUAACUUUCUGCCUGAGAUGAACUCGGUGUCAACCAAUUAAACAGGAAAUUCAAAUUAUCCUGCUCGUGGGUCCAGUUUGGUGCUGUGGGGUUUGAGUUUAAAUGUCAACCUUCUGUUUGUAUUUGCUGUAAAAUAAGCCGCUCGCUCUUUCUCCACUGAACAGAAUCUGAAUAAAGCCUAAAUGGGUCGUCGGGAAAACCAAAAACCGAAUUAGUAAUCCCAGGGUAUUACAAGAAUUCGACACAUGCUUGCAAUUGUGUGACACUGAUAGGAGUCGGAUAAUUAUUCAAGAUGAAAUUGUAAUAGAUGAGGUCUGCUGAGGUUUAAUGAUUUAUUUAAGGCUGUAAGUUAUGAUCUAAUAUUCCGUGGGUGGGUUGGCAAGUUUCUUUUGCUUGCAUUAUCAGUUUAAUUUAUUUUUCAGGUUCCCACUCCUACGUAGGCUUUUCUUCCCCUUCUUUAUGGAGACACGAGGAGGGCUGAGAGAAUAGCAGAGCAGGGGAGACACAUUAGAGGCUGAGAGAGGAUUCGAUCCUCGACCAGCGGGGGUCCAUGGGAAUCUAAAGGUGGGGAAUCAACCAUCGUGGCGUCGAUGGGAAACAGCCUGCAUUAUUUAAAACGGCAUAUAAAGGCAAAGUUGCGUUUCAAUAGAUUGCUGCCCUCCUCAAUUGCGCCUGAGGGUGUGUGUGCCUUUUUCCUGUGCUGCAAAACCUCACAUUUUCCAAAAUGUCAGAAUGAUCGCUGAAAUAAGUCAGCACAGCCUCAUUUUCAUUUUGACAGCUGUGCAGUUUUUUUUUUUUUAUUCUUUAAAUUAUGCAAUGGCUUUCAUGAAUCCUCGAGCUUUACAAGGUCACACAAUCCUCCGUUUCAGGUAUAAAAAAAUAAACAUGGAAAUCAUCAACAUCGGCAUAAUGGGGUUUUUCAUCUGACAGCUGCAGUAAUGUAGUGUGUUUGUGUACAGUAGAUUUAAUGUAUGAGUGUUGUGCUACUUUAUCUACGCCCCCUCAGGCUGCACUUUGAUUUUCCUGUAAUAAAUAAUGCUCUUUUGUGUUCUGUGCUUCAUUUGUUCCCUGUUGUAACCUCAGAACUGCUCAAUAAAUUAUGAAUCACGCCAGUUCAA